GACGAACGCUGGCGGCGUGCUUAACACAUGCAAGUCGAACGGAAAGGCCCUGCUUGCAGGGUACUCGAGUGGCGAACGGGUGAGUAACACGUGGGUGAUCUGCCCUGCACUUCGGGAUAAGCCUGGGAAACUGGGUCUAAUACCGGAUAUGACCUUCCAUGUAGUGUGGGGGGUGGAAAGAUUUAUCGGUGUGGGAUGAGCCCGCGGCCUAUCAGCUUGUUGGUGGGGUAAUGGCCUACCAAGGCGUCGACGGGUAGCCGGCCUGGGAGGGUGGACGGCCACAUUGGGACUGAGAUACGGCCCAGACUCCUACGGGAGGCAGCAGUGGGGAAUAUUGCACAAUGGGCGGAAGCCUUAUGCAGCGACGCCGCGUGGGGGAUGACGGCCUUCGGGUUGUAAACCUCUUUCGACAGGGACGAAGCUUCGGUGACGGUACCUGUAUAAGAAGCACCGGCUAACUACGUG
This 465-nucleotide ribosomal RNA is filed under the name uncultured bacterium. RNAcentral describes it as "partial 16S ribosomal RNA". It matches the Rfam family "Bacterial small subunit ribosomal RNA", at positions 28 to 507 of the family's 1533-position model. The record is from RNAcentral.